GAUGACCGCUAGCUACAGGCUUAACACAUGCAAGUCGAGGGGAAACGACAUCGAAAGCUUGCUUUUGAUGGGCGUCGACCGGCGCACGGGUGAGUAACGCGUAUCCAACCUGCCCAUCACUUGGGAAUAACCUUGCGAAAGUAAGACUAAUACCCAAUGAUAUCCCACGAAGGCAUCGGAAUGGGAUUAAAGAUUUAUCGGUGAUGGAUGGGGAUGCGUCUGAUUAGCUUGUUGGCGGGGUAACGGCCCACCAAGGCAACGAUCAGUAGGGGUUCUGAGAGGAAGGUCCCCCACAUUGGAACUGAGACACGGUCCAAACUCCUACGGGAGGCAGCAGUGAGGAAUAUUGGUCAAUGGGCGAGAGCCUGAACCAGCCAAGUAGCGUGCAGGAAGACGGCCCUAUGGGUUGUAAACUGCUUUUAUAAGGGAAUAAAGUGGGUCACGUGUGACUUUUUGCAUGUACCUUAUGAAUAAGGACCGGCUAAUUCCGUG
This 492-nucleotide ribosomal RNA is filed under the name uncultured bacterium. Its description in RNAcentral is "partial 16S ribosomal RNA". It matches the Rfam family "Bacterial small subunit ribosomal RNA", at positions 28 to 507 of the family's 1533-position model. The record is from RNAcentral.